Molecule: ribosomal RNA, 2787 nt
Filed under: Escherichia coli
Lineage: Bacteria; Pseudomonadati; Pseudomonadota; Gammaproteobacteria; Enterobacterales; Enterobacteriaceae
Description: bacterial LSU rRNA
Rfam family: Bacterial large subunit ribosomal RNA
Source: RNAcentral
AGCGUACACGGUGGAUGCCCUGGCAGUCAGAGGCGAUGAAGGACGUGCUAAUCUGCGAUAAGCGUCGGUAAGGUGAUAUGAACCGUUAUAACCGGCGAUUUCCGAAUGGGGAAACCCAGUGUGUUUCGACACACUAUCAUUAACUGAAUCCAUAGGUUAAUGAGGCGAACCGGGGGAACUGAAACAUCUAAGUACCCCGAGGAAAAGAAAUCAACCGAGAUUCCCCCAGUAGCGGCGAGCGAACGGGGAGGAGCCCAGAGCCUGAAUCAGUGUGUGUGUUAGUGGAAGCGUCUGGAAAGGCGCGCGAUACAGGGUGACAGCCCCGUACACAAAAAUGCACAUAUUGUGAGCUCGAUGAGUAGGGCGGGACACGUGGUAUCCUGUCUGAAUAUGGGGGGACCAUCCUCCAAGGCUAAAUACUCCUGACUGACCGAUAGUGAACCAGUACCGUGAGGGAAAGGCGAAAAGAACCCCGGCGAGGGGAGUGAAAAAGAACCUGAAACCGUGUACGUACAAGCAGUGGGAGCACGCUUCGGCGUGUGACUGCGUACCUUUUGUAUAAUGGGUCAGCGACUUAUAUUCUGUAGCAAGGUUAACCGAAUAGGGGAGCCGAAGGGAAACCGAGUCUUAACUGGGCGUUAAGUUGCAGGGUAUAGACCCGAAACCCGGUGAUCUAGCCAUGGGCAGGUUGAAGGUUGGGUAACACUAACUGGAGGACCGAACCGACUAAUGUUGAAAAAUUAGCGGAUGACUUGUGGCUGGGGGUGAAAGGCCAAUCAAACCGGGAGAUAGCUGGUUCUCCCCGAAAGCUAUUUAGGUAGCGCCUCGUGAAUUCAUCUCCGGGGGUAGAGCACUGUUUCGGCAAGGGGGUCAUCCCGACUUACCAACCCGAUGCAAACUGCGAAUACCGGAGAAUGUUAUCACGGGAGACACACGGCGGGUGCUAACGUCCGUCGUGAAGAGGGAAACAACCCAGACCGCCAGCUAAGGUCCCAAAGUCAUGGUUAAGUGGGAAACGAUGUGGGAAGGCCCAGACAGCCAGGAUGUUGGCUUAGAAGCAGCCAUCAUUUAAAGAAAGCGUAAUAGCUCACUGGUCGAGUCGGCCUGCGCGGAAGAUGUAACGGGGCUAAACCAUGCACCGAAGCUGCGGCAGCGACGCUGAUGCGUUGUUGGGUAGGGGAGCGUUCUGUAAGCCUGUGAAGGUGUACUGUGAGGUAUGCUGGAGGUAUCAGAAGUGCGAAUGCUGACAUAAGUAACGAUAAAGCGGGUGAAAAGCCCGCUCGCCGGAAGACCAAGGGUUCCUGUCCAACGUUAAUCGGGGCAGGGUGAGUCGACCCCUAAGGCGAGGCCGAAAGGCGUAGUCGAUGGGAAACAGGUUAAUAUUCCUGUACUUGGUGUUACUGCGAAGGGGGGACGGAGAAGGCUAUGUUGGCCGGGCGACGGUUGUCCCGGUUUAAGCGUGUAGGCUGGUUUUCCAGGCAAAUCCGGAAAAUCAAGGCUGAGGCGUGAUGACGAGGCACUACGGUGCUGAAGCAACAAAUGCCCUGCUUCCAGGAAAAGCCUCUAAGCAUCAGGUAACAUCAAAUCGUACCCCAAACCGACACAGGUGGUCAGGUAGAGAAUACCAAGGCGCUUGAGAGAACUCGGGUGAAGGAACUAGGCAAAAUGGUGCCGUAACUUCGGGAGAAGGCACGCUGAUAUGUAGGUGAAGUCCCUCGCGGAUGGAGCUGAAAUCAGUCGAAGAUACCAGCUGGCUGCAACUGUUUAUUAAAAACACAGCACUGUGCAAACACGAAAGUGGACGUAUACGGUGUGACGCCUGCCCGGUGCCGGAAGGUUAAUUGAUGGGGUCAGCGCAAGCGAAGCUCUUGAUCGAAGCCCCGGUAAACGGCGGCCGUAACUAUAACGGUCCUAAGGUAGCGAAAUUCCUUGUCGGGUAAGUUCCGACCUGCACGAAUGGCGUAAUGAUGGCCAGGCUGUCUCCACCCGAGACUCAGUGAAAUUGAACUCGCUGUGAAGAUGCAGUGUACCCGCGGCAAGACGGAAAGACCCCGUGAACCUUUACUAUAGCUUGACACUGAACAUUGAGCCUUGAUGUGUAGGAUAGGUGGGAGGCUUAGAAGUGUGGACGCCAGUCUGCAUGGAGCCGACCUUGAAAUACCACCCUUUAAUGUUUGAUGUUCUAACGUGGACCCGUGAUCCGGGUUGCGGACAGUGUCUGGUGGGUAGUUUGACUGGGGCGGUCUCCUCCUAAAGAGUAACGGAGGAGCACGAAGGUUGGCUAAUCCUGGUCGGACAUCAGGAGGUUAGUGCAAUGGCAUAAGCCAGCUUGACUGCGAGCGUGACGGCGCGAGCAGGUGCGAAAGCAGGUCAUAGUGAUCCGGUGGUUCUGAAUGGAAGGGCCAUCGCUCAACGGAUAAAAGGUACUCCGGGGAUAACAGGCUGAUACCGCCCAAGAGUUCAUAUCGACGGCGGUGUUUGGCACCUCGAUGUCGGCUCAUCACAUCCUGGGGCUGAAGUAGGUCCCAAGGGUAUGGCUGUUCGCCAUUUAAAGUGGUACGCGAGCUGGGUUUAGAACGUCGUGAGACAGUUCGGUCCCUAUCUGCCGUGGGCGCUGGAGAACUGAGGGGGGCUGCUCCUAGUACGAGAGGACCGGAGUGGACGCAUCACUGGUGUUCGGGUUGUCAUGCCAAUGGCACUGCCCGGUAGCUAAAUGCGGAAGAGAUAAGUGCUGAAAGCAUCUAAGCACGAAACUUGCCCCGAGAUGAGUUCUCCCUGACUCCUUGA